UGGGUGUCCUUGCAAAUAUUUGGUUUCAGAGGACAGGUCACGUUACACAGCUGAACAUUUGGAGAGUGAAAGGCCUGCGGCAAUGAGCCUCUGUCCCCACUGUCCCAUAGCCGCCAGCAGACAGCCCAUAAAAACGCGGGGCUGGUGUUCCCACAGAGGACUGUUGGUUUUAUGGGCUGGGGGAGGGAGGCAGAAGACCAUGGUCGUGGGGAGACUGCCAGAGAGUCUCCAUUAAGUGGGUCUCAGCUUCCGGGGACACAGCCACCCUGGAGGGACACCUGGGUUCCGGGGGCCCAUUGGGGACUCGAUGUUCUUUGAGGGCUCCCUCCCACCCCUGUAAUGUGUACAGGACUCUGUCCCCACCCUGCUUCCCAGAGCCACCACCUCACCACCUCCUAGUCCACCCCCCGGAUGGCCCCCUGCCCUCAAGGGUGGCCACAGUGCUGGCUCUUGCCCCUCCUGGACCUCAGGGUGGGCCUCCUGCCUCUUUGCCUUUUCCCCUCUCUAGGAGCCCACUUACCCUUGGGAAAAUGUAAUAAACUGGUUCACCGUAAAAUAGGUCCUUAAAUUAUAUCUCUUCAAGGCCAUUUAACUGGGGGCUCAGCCUUAAAUCACAAGAAUUGGUCUGUUAUUGUGGAAUAGUGGAUGACAUGAAAGGAGAGCUCUUGUCUCCUGUGCUUUCAGCUCAUUCAGGGACACGAAGAAAGGAGGUAGGAGCCAUUUCAACCCUUGAUGGGGGCUCUUCUGUAGCCCUGAGUCCAUCCAUUCUGGGCACGCUGGAUCUUUAAAGACAGUCUCAGGGAUUGUUCAGGAACCCGGAAAAGGGGUAGAGGAAAGGCUCGGAGAGGGAUUCUGGCCACAAGGUGGCGCUCUUGCCCAGGGACGACCAGGUGGCCCUGAGACGUGGGUGGAGGGUGAGAAGCAGCUAGAACCACACGGGGGAAGGAGAGAGGGUAAGAGAGAGCGCUGUCUUUGUGGGGCUUCUAGUCAGGAGUUUGUCACUGAGCGGUAACCGGAGGGCCGAGCUUAAAGAACAAAUCGCAAAUUCUUCCACAUCAUUCUCAACCUCUGUUAGAAAGCCCUGCGAUUCUGAUUCCUGGGGUGCUGGGUUGGGGCUGGGUCAAGAGUGGACUUACACGGGGGCCAUUGAGGGUAGAAGGGGGUGCGGGGCAGGACACUGCUCUUUUCAGGUUCACGCAGAGUGGUCCUAGUAGGUUAACCGCGCAGGAAGCGCUGUCUUUCGGGGCGGUGGGCGCCGAGCCCCGGAGGCGCUCUGGGGGCGGUGUCUCGGCCUCCCCCGCGGGCCCGGCCCCGAGGCGGGGCUGCCGGCGCAGCUGUGCGCCCCUCGCCGGCCCGCCCCUCUGGGUCGCUCCUUGCUCUGCUUGGUGCCCGGCUUUCUUCACGUGCAGUGAUGACCACGUGUCCGAAAUGAGCAGCUGCUUUCUGUACAACCACAGAUCACUUCGGAGAACGGUGACUUUGGAUCAAAAGGGGGAAACUAUUUCAAAACAAAAUGCUGCAAGCUGGUCUUUUUUCUCUCUCUCUCUCUCUCUCUCAAUCUUUUUGGAGGGGAGGAGGAUUUAAAAAACAAACAAAAAUCUAAGUCGGUAUCUUCUCACAACUGCAGCUGAUUUCCUGUGUAAACGAAAACCAUGUGAUAUUCCAUAAAUGCUUCCAGCUCUCAGUGACAGGAAAUGAAAACCAUCAUGGAAAAAGGAAGCUUCAGAAUGAAUUCCCAGUGCAAGAGCAUUACAGCGACAUUUCAGCGGGACGGACGCUGGGCCGCCUGCACAGACCUGCGGGUCAUUAGCGACAGCUAGUCGGGGCCUGGGCCGGGGAGGGCGCCCCUCAAUGCUGCUCCUGCCGGAGAAAUGGGGCGGCGGCGAUCACACCCUCGGCGCUGCGCGGGCGGCUCAGGCUUUCAACGAGCGACGGGCUGGGAACAGGAGUCUUUUCUUCCUACGCGCCUCGCGGGGUCGGGUUGUGACCUCUCAACCGUAUUCAGUCGGCGGGGGCAUCCAUAUUCAUGAAGGCUAAUUAGCUCUGAAAGGCCGGCUGGCGGGCCCUCCCCGCCGCGCUGGGCGGGGGCGCUGGCCCCAUCCCCCGCCCGGGCGCCCGGCCUCCGCAGCUGCUCCCGCGGCCCCGGGCGCGCACAUGUGCGCAGGGAGCGCGGCGACCCCGCGGCGCGGGGACCGGGGGACGAGGGGAAUUAGCCGCGUCAUUUGUCGCCAGCCUAGCAACACGUGCUUGCUUAUUCUGAUACCUCCGCCCGGCCCCUGCGUUCUGCGGCCGCAGGCUGAACAUCCCUGCUUGUUCCCGCUCUGUUCCUCAUUUGGUGAUCUGCCUAAGAGAGACCUGUGGGCAGAAAGACACAACCCCACUGGCAGUGCUGUAAAUUUCACUACUCCUUAAAGCUGUCUCUGAGAGGUGCGUCAACGUUGCGAUUUGACUGAAGGGAAAAUUGAGGCCCUGAGAAAUCAGGCAAUAGAAGAAAUCCAGAGUCCAGAUCAAGACUGGAACCCUGUCCCAAGUUCCAUGGACUCAAGGGUCCAUGUGCUGGUUCCCUGGGCCCACAUGGAUUCCCAAACCUGGGGAGGUCUGGCCUAGUGGUGGUCUGGUGGCCCCACUGUUGGGGCUGUCACACUGGCACCUUUCACAGAUACUGCGAACAGUAGAAGAUGCCAUCGUGGACACAUAGAAACAGGUCUUCCUGUAAGAGCCUCUGCGACACAACCCUGAAUGUGCAAAUAUGGUGACUUAAGGAAACAAAGACUUAUUUACCCUGAAUUUUUCUGUUAGGAAGAAAAAAAAUUUUAUGUUAUCUUUCUGAAACCACCACCUGUCAUCUCCGCUGUACUCGGCCUAAUGGGGCCCCACAAGAAAGAAAGGAGCCCAUUACAUAGAGGAAUCUCCGGUGAUCGUGCCGAGCUGUGUGGAAAUGACUGCUGGAAUCAACAGAUGGGGUAUCAAUGGAUACCCCAUUGUGGGUAUUUCACAGGCUGCCUCCAGCAUCCAGACCCUGGACUCAACUUAUGGAUCAUUGCACAAAUCCUGGAUCCUCUGCUGUAUCCAUCUAUUUUGUCCACUGUUUUCACAAUUAUAAAAGAAAUGGAUAUUUAUUGUAAAAUGUCUGGAAAAUACAUGCAUAUAUAAAGAAAAAAUAAAAAUGGCGGGGAAUAACCACUGCUGACAAUU
This is a long non-coding RNA of Equus caballus (horse), 3195 nucleotides long. RefSeq lists it as uncharacterized. Lineage: Eukaryota; Metazoa; Chordata; Mammalia; Perissodactyla; Equidae. The record is from RefSeq and is a predicted model, not a curated record.